UCCCAAUAAGCAUUUGCCUUUGGUAUUCCCAGUGAGCUAUUAGUUGAAAACUCUCCAGACUUAACUAAUAUCCAUUGGGAUUAUGCGUUUUUCAUUUUCCUUGCACUUUUCAGUUUUCUUUACUGACCCUGUGUCACAGGAAUCAGAUGAAGAAAAACAUUUUUCAGUCCAACCUAUAUAUCAACUGCUAUUUUGUUCAUAGAAUGAUGAGGGUUGAUCCUGCAUCACACAGGAUUAAGGUAUAUAACAGAAUGGUGAUGAAAUGUAAGCUUUUCUGUAUUAACUUCAAGUGCAUCUUCUGGAAUUACCAAACUCUAUGCCUAUUUAAAGAAUUCUAUAGUUCAGAGGCAUUAAAAAUGUCCAAACCAUGGCAUUUUCUCUUUUUCCCACAACAGCACAACGUUUGGAUUCUUGGCAGGGCAUAUAAAACAGUAAGUGUGGGAGUGAUAUCUAAAACACCGUAUUAUCUUGUGCUCUAAGAUCCAGAGAUUCCAUAUGACACUGACUUGAAGGAGGUAUAAUUAAGGAGACUGAGUAGGAAACUCAAAGAGAGGAAAUCAUUCCUGUUCAUUUUUACAGUUUGUCAGUUGACUUUGCUGCUCCUGUUUUUUUCCUAUCUUCCAUGAUUUUAAAGAAAACUUCAAGUUGAUGUGCAGUUCAUUCUGUAUGUUUUCAAGGUUCAUGGCAUCACUGCACAAACCUACGGAAAGCUUUGUGAAAACAGUGCCUGGGCACAGCGCUGACAGUCCUCACCCAACUCCCUGGAAGCAACCAGAGUCCCAAGAAAAACAACCACCAAG
This is a long non-coding RNA of Nyctereutes procyonoides (raccoon dog), 800 nucleotides long. RefSeq lists it as uncharacterized. The transcript is spliced from 3 exons. NCBI's taxonomy places the organism in Eukaryota, Metazoa, Chordata, Mammalia, Carnivora, Canidae. The record is from RefSeq and is a predicted model, not a curated record.